ACGGGUGAGUAAUAUAUCGGAACGUGCCCAAUCGUGGGGGACAACGUAGAGAAAUUUACGCUAAUACCGCAUACGAUCUAAGGAUGAAAGCGGGGGAUCGCAAGACCUCGCGCGAUUGGAGCGGCUGAUAUCAGAUUAGGUUGUUGGUGAGGUAAAAGCUCACCAAGCCGACGAUCUGUAGCUGGUUUGAGAGAACGACCAGCCACACUGGGACUGAGACACGGCCCAGACUCCUACGGGAGGCAGCAGUGGGGAAUUUUGGACAAUGGGCGAAAGCCUGAUCCAGCAAUGCCGCGUGCAGGAAGAAGGCCUUCGGGUUGUAAACUGCUUUUGUACGGAACGAAAAAGCUCUUUCUAAUAAAGAGGGCUCAUGACGGUACCGUAAGAAUAAGCACCGGCUAACUACGUGCCAGCAGCCGCGGUAAUACGUAGGGUGCGAGCGUUAAUCGGAAUUACUGGGCGUAAAGCGUGCGCAGGCGGUUAUAUAAGACAGUUGUGGAAUCCCCGGGCUCAACCUGGGAAUUGCAUCUGUGACUGUAUAGCUAGAGUACGGUAGAGGGGGAUGGAAUUCCGCGUGUAGCAGUGAAAUG
This 590-nucleotide ribosomal RNA is filed under the name uncultured bacterium. Its description in RNAcentral is "bacterial SSU rRNA". It matches the Rfam family "Bacterial small subunit ribosomal RNA", at positions 102 to 688 of the family's 1533-position model. The record is from RNAcentral.